AAAGUACCAAAACUACUUAAUUAAGCUAAAGUUGUUUUGGUGCUGUUAGUAUAACUUUAACAGCAGGAAAGAGCAUUAAACACUGGCUUUCCAAAGACAAGCAAGUCUUUGGACAGUACUAAUACUUGAAGUAAGAACCCUUAAUGUGACACUUACAUGGCCUCAGGGCUUGGGUUUAUUGUGAUAACCUCUAAGAUGGCUUUUGGAUUGUGGAGUCCUAGUCAGUAUUAUUUGUAUUCUCUAUUGGGUAAUAUGUCAUGUGUAAGAGAACAGAAAUGUGGGGCACAUGCAAUAUAACACAGAUAUCCAACAAUAGUAUACAGGCAGCAACUUUGAUCACACAAGCAAGCUCUAGUGGAUAUGGUGCCUGGAGUGUUUAUUUAAUACAAUAUGCUCAAUAAAGACAUAAAACAACUCCGAUCACAUUUUAUUUCAAAGUAACAUACAGAUGGUUAGCAAAUAUUUCUCACCCCUCCAUAUUCAAGAAUACAGCAGCAUAGGUAUAUUUUCAUAGAAAUUCAAUUUGCCAUUAAUGCAGAUUAAUAAGAUUAACUGGUACAGUACAUUGUCACUUCUCCACUCCUUCAUUGUUGACUUAUGAAACUUUGCUCCUAAGAUUAGGCACUAACUGUGGGUGAUGUCAUCAACAUGGUAAUAAAUGCUUAAAACGGACUGAUGCUGUAUUUAAGCUAAAAAUAAAGAUUAGUACACAC
This is a non-coding RNA of Pelobates cultripes (western spadefoot toad), 713 nucleotides long. The record is from the annotation of a GenBank genome assembly. Lineage: Eukaryota; Metazoa; Chordata; Amphibia; Anura; Pelobatidae.